AUGGAUUUUAAAACUGGGAUGC
RNAcentral lists this microRNA (22 nucleotides) under Macaca mulatta (Rhesus monkey). RNAcentral's name for it is "mml-miR-7182-3p". Lineage: Eukaryota; Metazoa; Chordata; Mammalia; Primates; Cercopithecidae. The record is from miRBase by way of RNAcentral.